GACGAACGCUGGCGGCGUGCUUAACACAUGCAAGUCGAGCGGUAAGGCCCUUUCGGGGGUACACGAGCGGCGAACGGGUGAGUAACACGUGGGUGACCUGCCCUCAGCUCUGGGAUAAGCCUGGGAAACCGGGUCUAAUACUGGAUAUGACUCCAUGACGCAUGUUGUGGGGUGGAAAGCCUUGUGCGGCUGAGGAUGGGCCCGCGGCCCUAUCAGCUUGUUGGUGGGGUGAUGGCCUACCAAGGCGACGACGGGUAGCCGGCCUGAGAGGGCGACCGGCCACACUGGGACUGAGACACGGCCCAG
Molecule: ribosomal RNA, 306 nt
Filed under: uncultured bacterium
Lineage: Bacteria
Description: bacterial SSU rRNA
Rfam family: Bacterial small subunit ribosomal RNA
Source: RNAcentral